AUGGCAGCGCCCCCCUCCUCCGUCUCCGUCAGGGCCGGCGCGUCCGUCUCGGCGAAGCUGACCCCUUCGCGGGCCGCCAGGGUUGGGUUCGGUGGCAGGGUCAGCGUCGGCUCGGGCAGGAAGUGCGGCGGCCCCGUGCGGGCGUCGCUCUUCUCGCCCAAGCCCGCGGUGGCCAUGGACGCGAGGCCGACCAAGGUGCAGGAGCUGCACGUCUACGAGCUCAACGAGCACGACCGCGAGAGCCCCGCCUACCUCCGGCUGAGCGCCAAGCAGAGCCAGAACGCGCUCGGCGACCUCGUCCCCUUCACCAACAAGGUGUACAACGGGAGCCUGGACAAGCGGAUCGGGAUCACGGCGGGGAUCUGCAUCCUGAUCCAGCACGUGCCGGAGCGCAACGGCGACCGCUACGAGGCCAUCUACAGCAUCUACUUCGGCGACUACGGCCACAUCACCGUGCAGGGGCCCUACCUCACCUACGAGGAGUCCUACCUCGCCGUCACCGGCGGCUCCGGCGUCUUCGAGGGCGUGUACGGCCAGGUCAAGCUCAACCAGAUCGUCUUCCCCUUCAAGAUCUUCUACACCUUCUACCUCAAGGGCAUCCCGGACCUGCCGAGGGAGCUGCUCUGCACGCCCGUCCCGCCCUCCCCCACCGUCGAGCCCACGCCCGCCGCCAAGGCCACCGAGCCACACGCAUGCCUCAACAACUUCACCGACUAG
RNAcentral lists this ribosomal RNA (717 nucleotides) under Triticum aestivum (bread wheat). RNAcentral's name for it is "partial small subunit ribosomal RNA". The record is from RNAcentral. Lineage: Eukaryota; Viridiplantae; Streptophyta; Magnoliopsida; Poales; Poaceae.